GUCUAUAGCCAUACCACCCUCAAUGUGCCUUAUCUCAUCUGAUCUCGGAAGCUAAGCAGGGUCGCACCUGGCUAGUACUUGGAUGGGAGACCGCCUGAGAAUACCAGGUGCUGUGUGCU
RNAcentral lists this ribosomal RNA (119 nucleotides) under Microcebus murinus (gray mouse lemur). The record is from RNAcentral. Lineage: Eukaryota; Metazoa; Chordata; Mammalia; Primates; Cheirogaleidae.